UCGGUGGGUAGGUGAGAGGGUAGGGUAGGUGAGCGGGUGUAUCGUUUCGUGCUUGGGUGAGCGGGUGCUAGGUGGUGAUCGAGUGUGCGUGCGAUAGGGGGCAUGUACUCAUUUGAGGCUGAGUCGACCUAGGGGAGGUCCAGGACCGGUUCAGAUAAUCGUCACUGGUGUUGGUGACCGUGAACCUACUACACUACCGCUCCACAUACGGGACGAGACCAAAGAGCAAUGGACGACGCCACAGGUUGUGUGCACAGGUGCAGGGAGUCCUUCCCAAUCUCCCUUGGGCCCCCUCUGCUGCCAGAUUGUCAUACCGCAGGCAACUGCUACCCGGUAAAUAUUGAACGUUGGGCGAACGUUAGCCCAACGAUGGCCCAACGUUCGAUGUUUGCUGGAUACAUAACGUCCAGUUACAUCAGACAGCAAGGCCUACAUCAUUGGCUAAGUCAACCUUUUGCUCAACCCGCGGACCACUCACUCUCAGUCAACCCUCAAGUUUUGCAGACCACUAUACCUCAAUAACGCCGUUCUAAAAGUAUUCCUCCUAAAUCCCCAGUAAACACGCCAACGUCCAUCCGGAUUUCUCACAUUUCUAUAAUUACACAGAAAAUUAUUAACUUAUUUUUUAAAAAACGUGUUUUACAAACUCCCUAAAACUCCUGGAAAGCAGUGCCCUCCCUCGUCCAGCUCAAGGCCCACAUCGCCUCCUCUCCCAACGUCGACUGCUGCAAGUUCACACCUUCUGUUACACCGACUCCACUGGGCUUCCCAUGGUGGUGGGAGCGGGUCGGGGGUGUAAAAGGGGCGAUUUGCCCCCGUCUUCACACAAAAGAAGGCCCCACAACAGGCCUCUACUUUUGUUGCUAACGACUAAGGGAUGGCACGUGGAGUUCUCCCCUGAGCCUGACACGGUGAAUUGACAGAAAUGAGAUCUGCCGCUGACAGCCCUCGGUGGAAACGGCCGUCGCUCUGCGGCGGCUUUCUCCUGUACCGGCGACGCCACGGAGCGUGACGGUGUGGCUUUGACCUCGUGGCUUUGACCACGUGACGCCCGCUCGUUCACAAAGACAAGACUAACGCUGACUCGGCAACAUCGACAAUGUUGGCUUUUAACAAAAAAAUGUCUUUCCUUUCUAAACUGAAUUUGGAAGAACCGGUUUGUCAGUUUAUUUCGGGUGAAGCCCAUUGAGCUAGGAAGUUGUCUUUCAAUAGUGACCCAAACGUAGCAUGGCUGGGACAACACUAGCCACCAUAUUACAUGGGAAGGGAGAGUUUACAUGGGCUGCAGAGAACAAAAGCCAGGACAAUGUUAUAUACAUGGUGAAUGACUACUACAGUAAACCCCCUCUAUUCACGAGCGUUAGAUUCUUUACAAUGCUCGCAAAUUUAGAAUUCGCGAAUUCAGAUACCUUAUUCAACGGGAAAAAUAGGGUUACGUUCCUGGUACGAGUGAGCACA
Molecule: long non-coding RNA, 1458 nt
Organism: Lethenteron reissneri (Far Eastern brook lamprey)
Lineage: Eukaryota; Metazoa; Chordata; Hyperoartia; Petromyzontiformes; Petromyzontidae
Source: RefSeq, a predicted model, not a curated record